UACGUAUGGUGCAAGCGUUAUCCGGAUUUACUGGGCGUAAAGGGAGCGCAGGCGGCUCGCCAAGUCUGAUGUGAAACCCCGGGGCUCAACCCCGGGCAUGCAUUGGAAACUGGCGGGCUGGAGUGCCGGAGAGGUAAGCGGAAUUCCUAGUGUAGCGGUGAAAUGCGUAGAUAUUAGGAGGAACACCAGUGGCGAAGGCGGCUUACUGGACGGCAACUGACGCCGAGGCUCGAAAGCGUGGGGAGCAAACAGG
This 253-nucleotide ribosomal RNA is filed under the name uncultured bacterium. Its description in RNAcentral is "partial 16S ribosomal RNA". It matches the Rfam family "Bacterial small subunit ribosomal RNA", at positions 524 to 776 of the family's 1533-position model. The record is from RNAcentral.